UACGGAGGGUGCGAGCGUUGUCCGGAUUUAUUGGGUUUAAAGGGUACGUAGGCGGCUCAUUAAGUCAGUGGUGAAAUCCUAAGGCUCAACCUUGGAACUGCCAUUGAAACUGGUAAGCUUGAGUGUCGUGGGGGUAAGCGGAAUUCCCUGUGUAGCGGUGAAAUGCAUAGAUAUGGGGAGGAACCUCGAUAGCGAAGGCAGCUUACUGUACGACAACUGACGCUGAUGUACGAAAGCGUGGGUAGCGAACAGG
Molecule: ribosomal RNA, 253 nt
Filed under: uncultured bacterium
Lineage: Bacteria
Description: partial 16S ribosomal RNA
Rfam family: Bacterial small subunit ribosomal RNA
Source: RNAcentral